Molecule: long non-coding RNA, 3583 nt
Filed under: Homo sapiens (human)
Lineage: Eukaryota; Metazoa; Chordata; Mammalia; Primates; Hominidae
Description: non-protein coding lnc-LMO3-1:4
Source: RNAcentral
UUCUUCUCAGUGCAUUGGCUGAGACAGAGCGCACGAGACACACACACAUGCAUGCACACAUAUGCACACACACACACUCACACAUACUGGGGUGUUUUCAGAGUGGCUGUAGCAGAGAGGUGGGGUAGAACAGUGGGGAGCUGUGCGGAUGGGUGAAGUGCAUGUAUGCCUGCCUAGACGGGCCAGAAAAGCCAAACUUAAGAAAUCUGCCUAUGUACAGAACAAGUCAACUAAGGGGUUCUCAUUAAUCUACCGUCUGUGAAUAUCGUUAUUUUUCAGGAGAAGCGCUACAAAGCAGCCACUGUGCUUACUGAACGGCCUCCCCCUGUAUCGCUUAAUUGAGAAGGUAUACAAAUGCUCUCAGUCCAGCCAGACACCAAGCCGAAAGGUUGUGCUGGCUGCAACCGAAAGAUCAAGGACCGGUAUCUUCUAAAGGCACUGGACAAAUACUGGCAUGAAGACUGCCUGAAGUGUGCCUGCUGUGACUGUCGCUUGGGAGAGGCUCUUUGGUGUAACGGGAAACUGCGCUGCCUGUAGUAAGCUCAUCCCUGCCUUUGAGAUGGUGAUGCGUGCCAAGGACAAUGUUUACCACCUGGACUGCUUUGCAUGUCAGCUUUGUAAUCAGAGAUUUUGUGUUGGAGACAAAUUUUUCCUAAAGAAUAACAUGAUCCUUUGCCAGACGGACUACGAGGAAGGUUUAAUGAAAGAAGGUUAUGCACCCCAGGUUCGCUGAUCUAUCAACAUCACCCCAUUAAGAAUACAAAGCACUACAUUCUUUUAUCUUUUUUGCUCCACAUGUACAUAAGAAUUGACACAGGAACCUACUGAAUAGCGUAGAUAUAGGAAGGCAGGAUGGUUAUAUGGAAUAAAAGGCGGACUGCAUCUGUAUGUAGUGAAAUUGCCCCAGUUCAGAGUUGAAUGUUUAUUAUUAAAGAAAAAAGUAAUGUACAUAUGGCUGGAUUUUUUUGCUUGCUAUUCGUUUUUGUGUCACUUGGCAUGAGAUGUUUAUUUUGGACUAUUGUAUAUAAUGUAUUGUAAUAUUUGAAGCACAAAUGUAAUACAGUUUUAUUGUGUUACCAUUUGUGUUCCAUUUGCUUCUUUGUAUUGUUGCAUUUAGUACAAUCAGUGUUUAAACUUACUGUAUAUUUAUGCUUUCUGUAUUUACCAGCUAUUUUAAAUGAGCUGUAACUUUCUAGUAAAGAAUUGAAAAGCAAAUCUCACUAAUGAUACACAGAUAGAUAAAGCAAGUCUAUCAACAUUAAAAAUACUAAAAAAUAAAGACACACACAGAGCAUUUUAGUGACAUCCACUACUUAUUGCCGCUAUGAGUUAGAGUCUAUCAGUGUUCUUGUUAUAACCCCCUAUUUUCAGGGGGUUAAAAAUCAGCUUUAAAAAAAUACAUAAAAAUUUCAUCUUAAAGCACUUUCAUUUUAUACCAACGUGAAAAGUGCCAUUUUUAGAAUAACUUUAAAGCUUAACAGGUUUCCUUUUAAUAUCCUUUUUUUGUGUGCUCUUUACUUACACAAUGGCUUUGUUUUGCUUUUUCAGCCACACCCCUUAUGUGAACUAGUGCCUUUGGGUAUCACGUAAAAUUUUUUCCAAAGGGUUACUUUAAAAAUCUGUUACCACAAUUAUGAGAUGAUUUUUAAGUGAUAAAUUAAACUUCUUCUUGUAUAAAUUCUGCCCAGAUCUCUCCACAAGAGCUGAGGGUUUCAUAACUUUAUGGCUUAAUAAAUGUAUGACACUGAAAAGAUUUGAGUGUGAAUCUACUGAAAUCACUAUAAUGCACAUUGAAGCUAUGAUGGUAUUUGAGUAGUGAGGUUACUUUUGAUCGGAGCAACAUAAUGCUCAUAGAAUCUUCUAGAAGAAGAGAAACAAAGGGAUUGAUAAAAUGCUGAGAACUAGUGAUUAUAUAUUUUUCUGUAUUUACCUGACAUUUAUUUUAAUGUUCAAAAAGUAAACACUUUAAGUUUGAUGUGUUUUACUCUCUCAUUGUUUUAAGUAAUUGCCAACUCAGAAUACAUCAUUCUUAGGCUGAAAUUUGUCUUUCCAUUUUUUAAGGUGAAAUAGUACUACCUUACGUGAUAGCAUACAAAGAAGAAAGCUCUAGAAAGAGAAAUUAUGGAGAAUGAUUAUUUAAAUUACAAUUAAGGAAAUGAGAAUAUGAUCCCCUCUUCCGAGUUGCCCACAAACUUGCUUCUUUGCUUUUGCUCCCUGUAAUAGAACUACUUUUCAACAAAUCUAAUUUUGCACGGCACCGUUAACCAUAUUUUCACUACAGCAAACUUAGUGCUAUGGGUUUUCUUUUUCUUUGUUUUUUUCUUGAUCACUUGUAUAGGAAACAAUAUUUUCCAGUGUUAUUUGCAUAUAUAUUUUGUCCUUCCAAUAUAUGCAUUACAGAUGAAAAUUAAAUGUUAUACCUGAAUUCUUGGGUUGGGGCCAAAAUAUUAAGCUGAAAAUAAUGCUGGUGUGGAUUUGUUUUAAAACAAAGCUUUAUUAUGAACAUGCAUGUGAAUCUGGAUAUUGCCUCUUAUUUUUAAGAAAAUGGUUCUGUGAAAAGUGAAUGAUAUGUAUUUUUCCAAAUGCUUCAUGGUUAGGAGUCUUCAAGUUCCAUGUUCCCCAGAUUUGAGAUAUACUAAAGAAAGAAAUUCAAAAGUAGCUAUUUGGGGCCCACAAAAAUAACUAUUAUUUUAGCCUUAGAGCCUUACACUUGUUUCAUGAAGAGAAAGGACUUGCAUAACCAAAAUAAACAAAGCAAGACAAAUUAAAAAUAUGUGGGGGAGAGAUCAGUGAAAAGUGGUUUUCUUAAUGCAGCCCUGCUGGUCCCCAUUAACAAUUGCUUGAAAUUCACAUGGAUGUAAAAUUAUAAUUGUCAGGAUCUUAUUCAGAUGAUCUUUUAAGGUUUAACUGGUUUUGCUUUUGUUUAUCUAUAUGUCAAAAUACUUGUAAAUUGGGAACAAACUUCUCUCAGCUUCUUGAAGUUGUUCAACUAUCCUUGCCACUGGAAGACCAAACAAGGUUUUCACUGCUUUUUCUUUUACAUAAUAUGCUGAGAAUUAUUUCUUAUGCUUUUUACUACAAACAAAAUUACUCACCUGGAUUAAAGAUUAAGGCCUUAAUCUGUUUAGAUUAUCUUUAAUCUCCAUGAAAUCGUGAAAUAAGACAAGAAUAGUGUUUCAGCUGUAGGCCAUUUUACAGCUAAUUGCCCAUAAAUUGUAGCAUUUAUUGACCUGAAGUACUAAGCUAAUUGUCUUGACUACUCAAAGCCCCUGAAUUGUUGUCAACUUUCCCCUUUGUGUUGUGUAGCCCUAACGUCAUUUAGCUUGUUGUCUGAUGCCUCCAGUAGGACACCUCCGAUGGAGCUUUGAUUUCUGAGCAGCGAAAGCUCCCUUCCUAAGAUGCAUCUCGCAUAGGCUGCCUAUGAUGAAGGACCGUGCACCUCCACUCCAACAGAGUGCUGAGUUUAAAAGUUGACCUGUGUUUGUAAUUUCACUUUCAUCUUGCUUAAUAAAUAUCUGCUGGAUUCUUUCAUUCACUUUUUUACAUUUGGAUUUAUGUUUUUAAUAAAAGGGGUGUUACACUA